RNAcentral lists this ribosomal RNA (451 nucleotides) under Bradyrhizobium sp. DASA 64008. RNAcentral describes it as "bacterial SSU rRNA". It matches the Rfam family "Bacterial small subunit ribosomal RNA", at positions 927 to 1369 of the family's 1533-position model. The record is from RNAcentral. Lineage: Bacteria; Pseudomonadati; Pseudomonadota; Alphaproteobacteria; Hyphomicrobiales; Nitrobacteraceae.
GGCGAAGCGGCGGGACAUGUGGUUUAAUUCGACGCAACGCGCAGAACCUUACCAGCCCUUGACAUGUCCAGGACCGGUCGCAGAGAUGUGACCCUCUCUUCGGAGCCUGGAAGACAGGGGCUGAUUGGCUGUCGUCAGCUCGUGUCGUGAGAUGUUGGGUUAAGUCCGGCAACGAUCGCAACCCCCGUCCUUAGUUGCUACCAUUUAGUUGAGCACUCUAAGGAGACUGCCGGUGAUAAGCCGCGAGGAAGGUGGGGAUGACGUCAAGUCCUCAUGGCCCUUACGGGCUGGGCUACACACGUGCUACAAUGGCGGUGACAAUGGGAUGCUAAGGGGCGACCCUUCGCAAAUCUCAAAAAGCCGUCUCAGUUCGGAUUGGGCUCUGCAACUCGAGCCCAUGAAGUUGGAAUCGCUAGUAAUCGUGGAUCAGCACGCCACGGUGAAUACGUUC